AAGGGAGAAGCAGGCUCCAUGUGGGGAGCCCGACAUGGGACUCGAUCCUGGGUCUCCAGAAUCACACCUCAGGCUGCAGGCGGCGCUAAACCGCUGCACCACGGGGGCUGCCCAAAAGGGGGAAAUUUAAACUGGGAGAGGUUAUUUUAUAUGGGAAUAUGUUCGGGCUUAUUUAUACUUUUUUAAAAAACAUGUUUAGAUUUCCUUUUUGUUUCAUCUUACUCUAAAGGAAGAAUUUUUUAAAAAGAAGAAAUAAAGAAAAGGCCCCAAUGCAAAAAGAACUGGCUAAAUUAGUGUACUAUGUAUUGAUAACUGAGAGAAAUAAGAUAAUAGCCUCCUAAAAACAAACAACAUUUGAAAAGAGAUGCCCCACAGUCCAUGCUGUGAUAGGUUUUAAAAAAGAUUUCUUUAUUUAUUUGAGAGAGAAUGUACAUGCAUGGGCAGGGGCAGGGGCAAAGGGAGAGAAAAUUUCAAACAAACUCCCCUCUGAGUGCAGACCCCAACCCUGGGCUUGAUCUUAGGACCCUGAGAUCAUGGUCUGAGCCGAAAUCAAGAGUCAGAUGCUUAACCAACUAAGCCAACCAGGCACUCCCCUGUGCUAUAAUGUUUAUAAAGAUUUUUUAGUUUAUUUUGAUUGUAAGAGCCAUAAAUUAGGGCUGACUGCAUAAUUUGUGGGACCCAGUGCAAAAUGAGAAUAUGGGACCUUAGCUUAAGACAAAGUCAAUCUCUCUUCCUGUGGGCCUGCUAUUUUCAAAGUAGGUGAAUAACCCCUAUGGGAUUCCCUAAGAGAUUGAAAUCUCCACUCCAAGACACAUUACUUACCUGGAUCAGGGGUAGGCAAGGGAACCCUGACCAGUCAGUGAACAUGCUGUGGUGUGGCCAGCCCAAGGCAGGGAUGACUGCUUCCUUGCUCUGCCUCAAGAUGCUCCAGAGAAAUCACUUGUGGGAGCCCAGACCUCCCCAUGGAGGGUGACCAUGGCAGAAAGUGGGCCUUCCUCACCAGCUCCCCUGGUAAUGUAAUCCUGUUGCCGCCCUGGGCAAAAGGCCUCAAUGCUCACUUCAGGGGUAGGAGAUGGAGGUCAGGUGGGGCCCAGGGUACCAGGCAGCAGGUAGUUUGUCACUGAGAACCUGAGAAGGGAAGCCAGGUAGUAGUCUCCAAGCCUUCAGUGCAUGCUGUGUCAUCCUAUUUGGCUCCAGUUAUAAAACACAAAUUAAAAAAAUAAAAUUUUUAAGAAUUUACUACAGUGCCCUCAAAGUAUUCUACCCCAAAGCAUAGGGCCCAUCUGAGUAGUGGGGUUCUGUGAGACUUAACCGGUUGCACCCCAGGAGGCCAACCCUGGACACAUCUGACCUUACAUGGCAUGGUGCUGUGACUCAGUGGUUUUUAAGUGCUAUACUUCCUGGUUGUAUGCUAGCUAUCUUUGCAAAUAACCAUAAGUGUUUCAUUUAUUAUUUAUCAUUUAGUGGUUUAAACUUCUGUCGGAUAUCUUAAAAUUACCUACACAAUAAGCAAUACAUAGCUGCCAGACUUAAAAAAAAAAAGCAAUUUCAUAGUACACAUGUAUAUUGAAGUUGCAGAAGUGUUCUAGUACAGUAAAAAAAUCUCAUCUUGAACCCCCAUUUCACUGACGGAACUUUUACUUUUCCUGUAUUUUAAUCAUAACUGCCAAAGAUUUUUCAGCUGAAAGGUAAAAUGGAAAUUUUCUGUGAAAUAUCAUCAUAAAACCCUAUGAAAUAUUUCAGUGAUAUGAGUCAUUCACUUAUUCAUAGGGGUAGACAUUUAGAUAAUAGAAGUAGCUAACAGAAAUCUGUGAGAAAUAUAUUGUUAAUUCCUGUGGAGGAGGAAGGAAGAAAUCCUACUGAUGUAUUUUUAAGUGUAGUUAAAUUCAGUGUUCCCUUCCAUUUCAAAAUAUCAAAAUUAUUCUGUUAUCCUUUCUUUCCAAGAGGCUACAUAAAAUUACUUUGACAAAAUCAUGAACCAUUUUUUUGCUGUUAACCUCUUCCACAUUCCAUUUCAUGAACAUAACAAUCAGUGGUCAAGAAUAUCCUUAUUUUUAUCAACCUUGUAUUGCAUAUAUAACACUUAACUACCAUGCACUGUGGUAUUUAGUUAGCAAUUUUGUCAAAGUAUAACCUCUUGGUUUACGAUAUUACUGAAACUAACAAGAAACAGACUGUAAUAA
Molecule: long non-coding RNA, 2183 nt
Filed under: Canis lupus familiaris (dog)
Lineage: Eukaryota; Metazoa; Chordata; Mammalia; Carnivora; Canidae
Description: lncRNA (ENSCAFG00000054491.1)
Source: RNAcentral